GUAAGCUACUAAGAGCGAAUGGUGGAUGCCUUGACUGGUAAAGGCGAUGAAGGACGUACUAGACUGCGAUAAGCUACGGGGAGCUGUCAAGAAGCUUUGAUCCGUAGAUUUCCGAAUGGGGCAACCCAAUGUAUAGAGAUAUACAUUACCUAUAUAGGAGCGAACGAGGGGAAUUGAAACAUCUUAGUACCCUCAGGAAAAGAAAUCAAUAGAGAUUGCGUCAGUAGCGGCGAGCGAAAGCGCAAGAGGGCAAACCCAGUGCUUGCACUGGGGGUUGUAGGACUGCAAUGUGCAAGAGGUAAGUUUAGCAGAACAUUCUGGAAAGUAUAACCAUAGAGGGUGAUAGUCCCGUAUGCGAAAAACAAACCUUAGCUAGCAGUAUCCUGAGUAGGGCGGGACACGAGGAAUCCUGUCUGAAUCCGGGUCGACCACGAUCCAACCCUAAAUACUAAUACCAGAUCGAUAGUGCACAAGUACCGUGAGGGAAAGGUGAAAAGAACUGAGGUGAUCAGAGUGAAAUAGAACCUGAAACCAUUUGCUUACAAUCAUUCAGAGCCCUAUGUAGCAAUACAGGGUGAUGGACUGCCUUUUGCAUAAUGAGCCUGCGAGUUGUGGUGUCUGGCAAGGUUAAGCAAACGCGAAGCCGUAGCGAAAGCGAGUCUGAAUAGGGCGCUUAGUCAGAUGCUGCAGACCCGAAACGAAGUGAUCUAUCCAUGAGCAAGUUGAAGCUAGUGUAAGAACUAGUGGAGGACUGAACCCAUAGGCGUUGAAAAGCCCCGGGAUGACUUGUGGAUAGGGGUGAAAGGCCAAUCAAACUUCGUGAUAGCUGGUUCUCUCCGAAAUAUAUUUAGGUAUAGCGUUGUGUCGUAAUAUAAGGGGGUAGAGCACUGAAUGGGCUAGGGCAUACACCAAUGUACCAAACCCUAUCAAACUCCGAAUACCUUAUAUGUAAUCACAGCAGUCAGGCGGCGAGUGAUAAAAUCCGUCGUCAAGAGGGAAACAACCCAGACUACCAGCUAAGGUCCCUAAAUCUUACUUAAGUGGAAAACGAUGUGAAGUUACUUAAACAACCAGGAGGUUGGCUUAGAAGCAGCCAUCCUUUAAAGAAAGCGUAAUAGCUCACUGGUCUAGUGAUUUUGCGCGGAAAAUAUAACGGGGCUAAAGUAAGUACCGAAGCUGUAGACUUGCACACAACUUAGAUUAUUUAAGUUUAGAAUAUGAGAAACUAAGUUAUAUGUUUAGUUAUAUUUUUACUGAUUUUUAUAGAGUAAAGAUAGAAAUAAAACUUAGUAAAAUCAGUAAAAAUAUUCUUAGACUAAAGUUAAGUAGUUUAAGUUGUGUGCAAGUGGUAGGAGAGCGUUCUAUUUGCGUCGAAGGUAUACCGGUAAGGAGUGCUGGAGCGAAUAGAAGUGAGCAUGCAGGCAUGAGUAGCGAUAAUUAAUGUGAGAAUCAUUAACGCCGUAAACCCAAGGUUUCCUACGCGAUGCUCGUCAUCGUAGGGUUAGUCGGGUCCUAAGUCGAGUCCGAAAGGGGUAGACGAUGGCAAAUUGGUUAAUAUUCCAAUACCAACAUUAGUGUGCGAUGGAAGGACGCUUAGGGCUAAGGGGGCUAGCGGAUGGAAGUGCUAGUCUAAGGUCGUAGGAGGUUGUACAGGCAAAUCCGUAUAACAAUACUCCGAGAACUGAAAGGCUUUUUGAAGUCUUCGGAUGGAUAGAAGAACCCCUGAUGCCGUCGAGCCAAGAAAAGUUUCUAAGUUUAGCUAAUGUUGCCCGUACCGUAAACCGACACAGGUGGGUGGGAUGAGUAUUCUAAGGCGCGUGGAAGAACUCUCUUUAAGGAACUCUGCAAAAUAGCACCGUAUCUUCGGUAUAAGGUGUGGUUAGCUUUGUAUUAGGAUUUACUCCGAAAGCAAGGAAACUUACAACAAAGAGUCCCUCCCGACUGUUUACCAAAAACACAGCACUCUGCUAACUCGUAAGAGGAUGUAUAGGGUGUGACGCCUGCCCGGUGCUCGAAGGUUAAUUGAUGGGGUUAGCAUUAGCGAAGCUCUUGAUCGAAGCCCGAGUAAACGGCGGCCGUAACUAUAACGGUCCUAAGGUAGCGAAAUUCCUUGUCGGUUAAAUACCGACCUGCAUGAAUGGCGUAACGAGAUGGGAGCUGUCUCAAAGAGGGAUCCAGUGAAAUUGUAGUGGAGGUGAAAAUUCCUCCUACCCGCGGCAAGACGGAAAGACCCCGUGGACCUUUACUACAGCUUGACACUGCUACUUGGAUAAGAAUGUGCAGGAUAGGUGGGAGGCUUUGAGUAUAUGACGCCAGUUGUAUAUGAGCCAUUGUUGAGAUACCACUCUUUCUUAUUUGGGUAGCUAACCAGCUUGAGUUAUCCUCAAGUGGGACAAUGUCUGGUGGGUAGUUUGACUGGGGCGGUCGCCUCCCAAAUAAUAACGGAGGCUUACAAAGGUUGGCUCAGAACGGUUGGAAAUCGUUCGUAGAGUAUAAAGGUAUAAGCCAGCUUAACUGCAAGACAUACAAGUCAAGCAGAGACGAAAGUCGGUCUUAGUGAUCCGGUGGUUCUGUGUGGAAGGGCCAUCGCUCAAAGGAUAAAAGGUACCCCGGGGAUAACAGGCUGAUCUCCCCCAAGAGCUCACAUCGACGGGGAGGUUUGGCACCUCGAUGUCGGCUCAUCGCAUCCUGGGGCUGGAGCAGGUCCCAAGGGUAUGGCUGUUCGCCAUUUAAAGCGGUACGCGAGCUGGGUUCAGAACGUCGUGAGACAGUUCGGUCCCUAUCUGCCGUGGGCGUAAGAAGAUUGAAGAGAU
Molecule: ribosomal RNA, 2813 nt
Filed under: Campylobacter jejuni
Lineage: Bacteria; Pseudomonadati; Campylobacterota; Epsilonproteobacteria; Campylobacterales; Campylobacteraceae
Description: partial 23S ribosomal RNA
Rfam family: Bacterial large subunit ribosomal RNA
Source: RNAcentral